RNAcentral lists this ribosomal RNA (253 nucleotides) under uncultured bacterium. Its description in RNAcentral is "partial 16S ribosomal RNA". It matches the Rfam family "Bacterial small subunit ribosomal RNA", at positions 524 to 776 of the family's 1533-position model. The record is from RNAcentral.
UACGGGGGGAGCAAGCGUUGUUCGGAUUUACUGGGCGUAAAGGGCGCGUAGGCGGUCGUGACAAGUCACUUGUGAAAUCUCCGGGCUUAACUCGGAACGGUCAAGUGAUACUGUCGGACUAGAGUACAGAAGGGGCAACUGGAAUUCUCGGUGUAGCGGUGAAAUGCGUAGAUAUCGAGAGGAACACCUGCGGCGAAGCGGGUUGCUGGGCUGAUACUGACGCUGAGGAGCGAAAGCGUGGGGAGCAAACAGG